Molecule: ribosomal RNA, 449 nt
Filed under: uncultured bacterium
Lineage: Bacteria
Description: partial 16S ribosomal RNA
Rfam family: Bacterial small subunit ribosomal RNA
Source: RNAcentral
AGCGAACGCUGGCGGCAGGCUUAACACAUGCAAGUCGAACGGGCACUUCGGUGCUAGUGGCAGACGGGUGAGUAACACGUGGGAACGUACCUUUCGGUUCGGAAUAAUCCAGGGAAACUUGGACUAAUACCGGAUACGCCCUUCGGGGGAAAGAUUUAUCGCCGAUAGAUCGGCCCGCGUCUGAUUAGCUAGUUGGUGAGGUAAUGGCUCACCAAGGCGACGAUCAGUAGCUGGUCUGAGAGGAUGAUCAGCCACAUUGGGACUGAGACACGGCCCAAACUCCUACGGGAGGCAGCAGUGGGGAAUAUUGGACAAUGGGCGCAAGCCUGAUCCAGCCAUGCCGCGUGAGUGAUGAAGGCCUUAGGGUUGUAAGGCUCUUUUGUCCGGGAAGAUAAUGACUGUACCGGAAGAAUAAGCCCCGGCUAACUUCGUGCCAGCCGCCGCAGUAA